UCAGCCCAUGGUAGGGUACCAAUACUAUGGUGAGACCUAUGGACUACCAUAACCAUAUUUAUAGCCUAUGGUGGGGUACUAAUAUAGUGGCUAGUCCUGUGAACUACUACAAUCAUGUUUCCAGUCUAUGGCAGAGCACUAAUCAUGGCUAGUCUAAAGGAUCACAGGUGCUCAACUACAACUACCACAACCACGUUUACAACCCAUGGUGAGGCGCUAAAAAUGACAAGUCUAGGGGAUUAUAAGUACUCAACUUUAAAGUUUCACAAUCACAUUUACCGCC
This 283-nucleotide long non-coding RNA is filed under the name Elaeis guineensis (African oil palm). Its description in RNAcentral is "long non-coding RNA (EGUI_LNC008753)". Lineage: Eukaryota; Viridiplantae; Streptophyta; Magnoliopsida; Arecales; Arecaceae. The record is from RNAcentral.